Molecule: ribosomal RNA, 422 nt
Filed under: uncultured archaeon
Lineage: Archaea
Description: partial 16S ribosomal RNA
Rfam family: Archaeal small subunit ribosomal RNA
Source: RNAcentral
CUACGGGAGGCAGCAGUUAGGAAUAUUUUGCAAUGCACGAAAGUGUGACAAAUUGAACUAGAGUGCUUUCCAAUUUGGAAAGCUUUUGCCAAAUGUAAAAAGUUUGGCGAAUAAGGACUGGGUAAGACGAGUGCCAGCCGCCGCGGUAAUACUCGCGGUCCAAGUCGCAGCCAUUUUUAUUGGGUCUAAAACAUCCGUAGCUUGCUUGAUAAGUUCUUUGUGAAAUCCUAAUUCUUAAAAUUAGGGAGUGCAAAGAGUACUAUUAAGCUAGAGACUGGAAGACGUAAGAAGUAUGUUCGAAGUAGCGGUAAAAUGUGUUAAUCUCGGACAGACUCACAAUAGCGAAGGCAUCUUACGAGGACAGUUCUGACAGUAAGGGAUGAAGGCUAGGGGCGCAAAACGGAUUAGAUACCCUCGUAGUC